Long non-coding RNA from Eriocheir sinensis (Chinese mitten crab), 838 nucleotides. RefSeq lists it as uncharacterized. The record is from RefSeq and is a predicted model, not a curated record. The transcript has 5 exons. Lineage: Eukaryota; Metazoa; Arthropoda; Malacostraca; Decapoda; Varunidae.
CGCUCGACGCCGUGGCCCACAUACAGGUCCAAGUUGCUCCGAGGUUUCUGAGGCAGCCGGCCAACGCUCUCGCCUAUGAGAAGGAGAACGUGGAGCUGGAGUGCAGCGUGUACGGCCAGCCAGAGCCCUCGCUCCACUGGCUCAAGAACGGCGAGCUGCUGGUGGAGACGGAAUACCUUCAGAGAACGCGUCCAGAACGUGAGUGCAGCUCCUCCAGCGAGGGACGGGAUGAAUACAAGACCCAGAUCAGCGACCUAAGUCCCGGGAGUAACUACAUGGUGCGGGUGGCGGCCCACACCUCCGGCGGCCUGGUGGGCGCCUCCAUACACGAGGUGCGGGUGUUCACCAAGCCGGACCUGGACCUGCCCUCCGCCUCAGAGUCUGAAAGUUGUCUCCACCUCACCCACCAGUCUGGAGGCCACUUGGUCGCCGCCCGUACUGGCCAAAACGCCCAUCACGGGAUACACCAUGUUCUAUACGCAGUUUUCUCCUCAGGUUGGGUCAGCAGAAGAACACGAAGUAAAGGUCACUGGUACGUCACAUGACCUCCAAGGCCUGGACCAGUUCACUGAGCACAGCGUGUGGCUCACCGCCGUCAACAGUAAUGGCGGGGGAGACGCCACCCCGGAGGUCACUGCCAGAACCUUCUCAGACGUGCCCUCAAAGGAGCCUCAGAAUGUGAGCGUUGAGGCUGCCAGCUCAAGGAGCCUCAUCAUCUGCUGGGAGCCUCCGCUGGCCGAGCACCAGAAUGGGAUCAUCACCAGCUGCAAGAUCCACUACAAAGAGCGCGGCGAGUCAGGUUCCUCCAAGACCAAAGCCACAGACGGAAACAGACGAC